GAACGCUGGCGGCGUGCUUAACACAUGCAAGUCGAACGAUGAAGCCCAGCUUGCUGGGUGGAUUAGUGGCGAACGGGUGAGUAACACGUGAGUAACCUGCCCUUGACUCUGGGAUAAGCGUUGGAAACGACGUCUAAUACCGGAUACGAGCUUCCACCGCAUGGUGAGUUGCUGGAAAGAAUUUUGGUCAAGGAUGGACUCGCGGCCUAUCAGCUUGUUGGUGAGGUAACGGCUCACCAAGGCGACGACGGGUAGCCGGCCUGAGAGGGUGACCGGCCACACUGGGACUGAGACACGGCCCAGACUCCUACGGGAGGCAGCAGUGGGGAAUAUUGCACAAUGGGCGAAAGCCUGAUGCAGCAACGCCGCGUGAGGGACGACGGCCUUCGGGUUGUAAACCUCUUUUAGCAGGGAAGAAGCGAAAGUGACGGUACCUGCAGAAAAAGCACCGGCUAACUACGUGCCAGCAGCCGCGGUAAUACGUAGGGUGCAAGCGUUGUCCGGAAUUAUUGGGCGUAAAGAGCUCGUAGGCGGUUUGUCGCGUCUGCUGUGAAAUCCCGAGGCUCAACCUCGGGUCUGCAGUGGGUACGGGCAGACUAGAGUGCGGUAGGGGAGAUUGGAAUUCCUGGUGUAGCGGUGGAAUGCGCAGAUAUCAGGAGGAACACCGAUGGCGAAGGCAGAUCUCUGGGCCGCUACUGACGCUGAGGAGCGAAAGGGUGGGGAGCAAACAGGCUUAGAUACCCUGGUAGUCCACCCCGUAAACGUUGGGCGCUAGAUGUGGGGACCAUUCCACGGUUUCCGUGUCGUAGCUAACGCAUUAAGCGCCCCGCCUGGGGAGUACGGCCGCAAGGCUAAAACUCAAAGGAAUUGACGGGGGCCCGCACAAGCGGCGGAGCAUGCGGAUUAAUUCGAUGCAACGCGAAGAACCUUACCAAGGCUUGACAUAUACGAGAACGGGCCAGAAAUGGUCAACUCUUUGGACACUCGUAAACAGGUGGUGCAUGGUUGUCGUCAGCUCGUGUCGUGAGAUGUUGGGUUAAGUCCCGCAACGAGCGCAACCCUCGUUCUAUGUUGCCAGCACGUAAUGGUGGGAACUCAUGGGAUACUGCCGGGGUCAACUCGGAGGAAGGUGGGGACGACGUCAAAUCAUCAUGCCCCUUAUGUCUUGGGCUUCACGCAUGCUACAAUGGCCAGUACAAAGGGCUGCAAUACCGUAAGGUGGAGCGAAUCCCAAAAAGCUGGUCCCAGUUCGGAUUGAGGUCUGCAACUCGACCUCAUGAAGUCGGAGUCGCUAGUAAUCGCAGAUCAGCAACGCUGCGGUGAAUACGUUCCCGGGCCUUGUACACACCGCCCGUCAAGUCAUGAAAGUCGGUAACACCCGAAGCCAGUGGCCUAACCGCAAGGAUGGAGCUGUCUAA
Molecule: ribosomal RNA, 1418 nt
Filed under: Plantibacter sp. WPCB192
Lineage: Bacteria; Bacillati; Actinomycetota; Actinomycetes; Micrococcales; Microbacteriaceae
Description: bacterial SSU rRNA
Rfam family: Bacterial small subunit ribosomal RNA
Source: RNAcentral